Molecule: ribosomal RNA, 457 nt
Filed under: uncultured bacterium
Lineage: Bacteria
Description: partial 16S ribosomal RNA
Rfam family: Bacterial small subunit ribosomal RNA
Source: RNAcentral
CCUACGGGUGGCAGCAGUGGGGAAUAUUGCACAAUGGGGGAAACUCUGAUGCAGCGACGCCGCGUGAGUGAAGAAGUAUUUCGGUACGUAACGCUCUAUCAGCAGGGAAGAAAAAAAGUCCUUUGGACUUUUGCCGGUACCUGACCAAGAAGCCCCGGCUAACUACGUUCCAGCAGCCGCGGUAAUACGUAGGGAGCAAGCGUUAUCCGGAUUUACUGGGUGUAACGGGAGCGUAGACGGCAUAGCAAGUCUGGAGGGAAAUGGCGGGGCCCAACACCGGAACUGCUUUGGACACUUGGCAGAUGGAGUGCAGGAGAGGUAAGCGGAAUUCCUAGUGUAGCGGUGAAAUGCGGAGAUAUUAGGAGGAACACCAGUGGCGAAGGCGGCUGACUGGACUGUAACUGACGUUGAGGCUCGAAAGCGUGGGGAGCAAACAGGAUUAGAUACCCCAGUAGUC